Molecule: ribosomal RNA, 424 nt
Filed under: uncultured bacterium
Lineage: Bacteria
Description: partial 16S ribosomal RNA
Rfam family: Bacterial small subunit ribosomal RNA
Source: RNAcentral
AAUAUUGGACAAUGGGCGAAAGCCUGAUCCAGCCAUGCCGCGUGUGUGAAGAAGGUCUUCGGAUUGUAAAGCACUUUAAGUUGGGAGGAAGGGUUGUAGGUUAAUACCCUGCAAUUUUGACGUUACCAACAGAAUAAGCACCGGCUAACUACGUGCCAGCAGCCGCGGUAAUACGUAGGGUGCAAGCGUUAAUCGGAAUUACUGGGAGUAAAGCGUGUGUAGGCGGUUCGGAAAGAAAGAUGUGAAAGCCCCGGGCUUAACCUGGGAAUUGCUUUCAAAACUGACGAGCUAGAGUACGGUAGAGGGUAGUGGAAUUUCCUGUGUAGCGGUGAAAUGCGUAGAUAUAGGAAGGAACAUCAGUGGCGAAGGCGACUACCUGGACUGAUACUGACACUGAGGUGCGAAAGCGUGGGGAGCAAACAGG